This 253-nucleotide ribosomal RNA is filed under the name uncultured bacterium. RNAcentral's name for it is "partial 16S ribosomal RNA". It matches the Rfam family "Bacterial small subunit ribosomal RNA", at positions 524 to 776 of the family's 1533-position model. The record is from RNAcentral.
UACGUAGGGGGCAAGCGUUAUCCGGAAUUACUGGGUGUGAAGGGAGCGUAGACGGUAAUGUAAGUCUGGAGUGAAAGGCGGGGGCCCAACCCCCGGACUGCUCUGGAAACUAUGUUACUAGAGUGCAGGAGAGGUAAGCGGAAUUCCUAGUGUAGCGGUGAAAUGCGUAGAUAUUAGGAGGAACACCAGUGGCGAAGGCGGCUUACUGGACUGUAACUGACGUUGAGGCUCGAAAGCGUGGGGAGCAAGCAGG